GGGCCCGCACAAGCGGUGGAGCAUGUGGUUUAAUUCGACGCAACGCGCAGAACCUUACCAGGGUUUGACAUCCUGUGCUCGCCGGAGAGAUCCGGUUUCCCCGCAAGGGGCGCAGAGACAGGUGCUGCAUGGCUGUCGUCAGCUCGUGUCGUGAGAUGUUGGGUUAAGUCCCGCAACGAGCGCAACCCUCGCCUUUAGUUGCCAUCAUUAAGUUGGGCACUCUAGAGGGACCGCCGGCGACAAGCCGGAGGAAGGUGGGGAUGACGUCAAGUCCUCAUGGCCCUUACACCCUGGGCUACACACGUGCUACAAUGGCGGUGACAGUGGGCAGCUACUUCGCGAGAAGAUGCUAAUCCCAAAAAACCGUCCCAGUUCAGAUUGCACUCUGCAACUCGGGUGCAUGAAGGUGGAAUCGCUAGUAAUCGCAGAACAGCAGGCUGCGGUGAAUACGUUCCCGGGCCUU
Molecule: ribosomal RNA, 463 nt
Filed under: uncultured bacterium
Lineage: Bacteria
Description: bacterial SSU rRNA
Rfam family: Bacterial small subunit ribosomal RNA
Source: RNAcentral